AGCGAACGCUGGCGGCGUGCUUAACACAUGCAAGUCGAACGCGUGUAGCAAUACACGAGUGGCGCACGGGUGAGUAACGCGUGGAUAUCUGCCUUUUGGUUCGGAAUAACUCCGGGAAACUGGAGCUAAUACCGGAUGGUUCCUUCGGGAUAAAGAUUUAUCGCCAAAAGAUGAGUCCGCGUACGAUUAGCUAGUUGGGGAGGUAAUGGCUCACCAAGGCGACGAUCGUUAGCUGGUCUGAGAGGACGAUCAGCCACACUGGGACUGAGACACGGCCCAGACUCCUACGGGAGGCAGCAGUGGGGAAUAUUGGACAAUGGGGGCAACCCUGAUCCAGCCAUGCCGCGUGAGUGAUGAAGGCCUUCGGGUUGUAAAGCUCUUUUGGCGGGGACGAUGAUGACGGUACCCGCAGAAUAAGCCCCGGCUAACUUCGUGCCAGCAGCCGCCGUAA
RNAcentral lists this ribosomal RNA (451 nucleotides) under uncultured bacterium. Its description in RNAcentral is "partial 16S ribosomal RNA". It matches the Rfam family "Bacterial small subunit ribosomal RNA", at positions 29 to 523 of the family's 1533-position model. The record is from RNAcentral.